GCAAUUUAAAGGAAAAAAUCUAGUGGAAAGAGAGAUUUUGAGAUGAGAGUGAAGAGGGAGGUAAUCUUGUUCGGUGGAAUGGGGAAGACGAACAGCAAAGGGGUCGGCUCUUUGCAAUCAGAGAAAUCCCAAUAAAACAGAGCCCGAUGGGUUUUAAUAAAAAAAUGCAAGUUUACCUUAGGGUCGACCCUGGGGUUUGACUCAUGGCAAGCAAAAAUUAAAAAAAUGAUGGAGAAUUUUGAAAAAGCUUGAAAUUUGAAGAAAAGGUGUCUAUUUGAGAGAUUGAUCAUUUGAAGGAUAGUUUUGAGCUUUUAAGAAAGG
RNAcentral lists this long non-coding RNA (321 nucleotides) under Elaeis guineensis (African oil palm). Its description in RNAcentral is "long non-coding RNA (EGUI_LNC046557)". The record is from RNAcentral. Lineage: Eukaryota; Viridiplantae; Streptophyta; Magnoliopsida; Arecales; Arecaceae.